AAUCUUAUGUUAUAAUAUAAGACGAUUUCUGCCCAAUGAUUUAUUUUUAAUGGCCGCAGUACCCUGACUGUGCUAAGGUAGCAUAAUAAAUUGGCUUUUAAAUGAGGUCUAGAAUGAAUGGAUAUUUGAAGUAGUAGUUGUCUUUUUUUUGUUUAAUUGAAUUUAUUAAUUAGGUGAAAAGUCCUAUAUUUACAAAGAAAGACGAGAAGACCCUUAGAAUUUUAACYAUCUGGUGUUUUUGUUGGGGUGACAUAUUAACAUAAUAAACUUUUAUUUAUUAACUUGAUAGUAAUUCGAGAGAGAUAAAAUUACCUUAGGGAUAACAGCAUAAUUUUCUUUUAAGAUUAUGACCUCGAUGUUGGACUAGGAACCUAAUAAUUAGUAAUUAAAUUGGCAAGUUCUGUUCGAACUUUUUCUCCU
RNAcentral lists this ribosomal RNA (420 nucleotides) under Gulella caryatis diabensis. RNAcentral describes it as "partial 16S ribosomal RNA". Lineage: Eukaryota; Metazoa; Mollusca; Gastropoda; Stylommatophora; Streptaxidae. The record is from RNAcentral.